UCGUAAGACUAAAUACUCCUAGGUCACCGAUAGCGAAAAGUACCGCGAGGGAAAGAUGAAAAGAACCAUUUUAAAUGGAGUGAAAUAGAACAUGAAACCGUAUGUUUACAAUUAGUGGGAGGAUGAACACAUCUGACCGCAUGCCUGUUGAAGAAUGAUCUGGCGACUUAGGAGACGUGGCAGGUUAAGAUAUUUAAUCGAAGCCAAAGCGAAAGCAUGUCUGAAUAGGGCAACACGUCCCGUCUUCUAGACCCGAACCCAGGUGAUCUAACCACGACCAGAAUGAAGCUUUGGUGAUACGAAGUGGAGGUUCGAACCGACCGAUGUUGAAAAAUCGACGGAUGAGUUAUGGUUAGGGGUGAAAUGCCAAUCGAACUUGGAGCUAGCUGGUUCUCCUCGAAAUGCGUUGAGGCGCAGCGGUAUAUUAUGAACUUUCCGGGGGUAAAGCUCUGUUUAGGUGCGGGCUGCGAAAGCGGUACCAAUCUUUUGCAAACUAAGAAUACCGGAAAUGAUUUCAAUCUACCAGUGAGACUGCGGGGGACAAGCUUCGUAGUCAAGAGGGAAACAGCCCAGACCACCAGCUAAGGCUCCUAAAUAAAAACUAAGUGGCAAAGGAGGUGAAAAUGCAGUGACAAUCAGGAGGUUUGCCUAGAAGCAGCCAUCCUCUAAGGAGUGCGUAAUAGCUCACUGAUCAAGCGUUUUUGCGCCGAAAAUGACCGGAACUAAGUUUUUUGCCGAAGCUGUGGAUAUAGACACUUAAAGUGCUAUGUGGUAGAGGAGCGUUCCGCAUGGGGGGAAGCCAAGCGCGUAAGCAGCGGUGGACAGUGCGGAAGUGAGAAUGUCAGAUUGAGUAACGAAAACAUUGGUGAGAAUCCAAUGCCCCGAAAACUUAAGGGUUCCUCUGCAAGGCUCGUCCGCAGAGGGUUAGUCAGGACCUAACAUGAGGCCGAAAGGCGUAAUGGAUGGCAAGAAGGUUUAUAUUCCUUCACUAUUGUUUUCUUAGUCCUGAGGGACGAACAAAUGCACACCUUUUUUGUGUCCAGGCUUGGCAGCUUGGAAGUCACACACUAAUGGAUGGACAUUUUUUCCAAGAAAAGCUCAUUCGACUUUGAGAAAACAAUACCUGUACCGUAAACCGACACAGGUGAGUGGGUUGAAUAAACUAAGGGGAGCGAGAUAACUCUCUCUAAGGAACUCGGCAAAUUGGCUCUGUACCUUCGGAAGAAAGAGUGCCCUGUAAAGGGCCGCAGUGAAGAGAUCCAGGCGACUGUUUACCAAAAACACAGGUCUCCGCAAAGUCGCAAGACGAAGUAUGGGGGCUGACACCUGCCCAGUGCCAGAAGGUUAAAGAAGUUGGUCAAUCUUCGGAUGAAGCUGACAACUGAAGCCCUGGUGAACGGCGGCAGUAACUAUAACUGUCCUAAGGUAGCGAAAUUCCUUGUCGGGUAAGUUCCGACCCGCACGAAAGGUGUAACGAUCUGGAUACUGUCUCAGAGAGAGACUCGGUGAAAUAAAAAUAUCUGUGAAGAUGCGGAUUACCUGCACACGGACAGAAAGACCCUAUGAAGCUUUACUGUAACCUGGAAUUGCUCUCAAGCUUAUUUCGCGCAGCUUAGGUGGGAGACGUUGAACCUUUUCUUCCGGGAAAGGGG
RNAcentral lists this ribosomal RNA (1652 nucleotides) under marine metagenome. Its description in RNAcentral is "bacterial LSU rRNA". It matches the Rfam family "Bacterial large subunit ribosomal RNA", at positions 458 to 2182 of the family's 2925-position model. The record is from RNAcentral.